Molecule: ribosomal RNA, 556 nt
Filed under: uncultured bacterium
Lineage: Bacteria
Description: partial 16S ribosomal RNA
Rfam family: Bacterial small subunit ribosomal RNA
Source: RNAcentral
UAGGGAAUCUUCCACAAUGGACGCAAGUCUGAUGGAGCAACGCCGCGUGAGUGAAGAAGGCUUUCGGGUCGUAAAACUCUGUUAUUGAAGAAGAACGUGCGUGACAGUAACUGGUCAUGCAGUGACGGUAUUCAAUCAGAAAGUCACGGCUAACUACGUGCCAGCAGCCGCGGUAAUACGUAGGUGGCAAGCGUUGUCCGGAUUUAUUGGGCGUAAAGCGAGUGCAGGCGGUCUUUUAAGUCUGAUGUGAAAGCCUUCGGCUUAACCGAAGAAGGGCAUCGGAAACUGGGAGACUUGAGUGCAGAAGAGGAGAGUGGAACUCCAUGUGUAGCGGUGAAAUGCGUAGAUAUAUGGAAGAACACCAGUGGCGAAGGCGGCUCUCUGGUCUGUAACUGACGCUGAGGCUCGAAAGCGUGGGUAGCAAACAGGAUUAGAUACCCUGGUAGUCCACGCCGUAAACGAUGAAUCACUAAGUGUUGGAGGGCUUUCCGCCCUUCAGUGCUGCAGCUAACGCAUUAAGUAUUCCGCCUGGGGAGUACGACCGCAAGGUUGAAAC